Molecule: unclassified non-coding RNA, 231 nt
Filed under: fungal sp.
Lineage: Eukaryota; Fungi
Description: partial internal transcribed spacer region
Rfam family: Eukaryotic small subunit ribosomal RNA (bases 1-46)
Source: RNAcentral
AAGUCGUAACAAGGUUUCCGUAGGUGAACCUGCGGAAGGAUCAUUAAGGAAAGUUGAUGCUGGUAUUAAUAUCUUGUUAAUACUCUGCUAUUCAACAUCUUUUUCUUGUAUACUGUUUUGUGGGGCUAAAGUCUAGCUUUUUGCUAUUCUUGAGCAUUUUUUAAACACUAUAAAAAUAGCCAUUUAGUAUUCUAAUUAAUACAACUUUUAACAAUGGAUCUCUUGGCUCUC